Capsicum annuum is the source of this 106-nucleotide non-coding RNA. Lineage: Eukaryota; Viridiplantae; Streptophyta; Magnoliopsida; Solanales; Solanaceae. The record is from Rfam.
GUUCGUGGUGUGGAGAAUCUCUUAAGUAUCCCUUGUAUCUCUCCCAUACUUGGGAAAGAGAUUCAACAUCUUUUUGAAAAAACCCAUAAAUCCUACCUCUAAGAUC